This is a long non-coding RNA of Ipomoea nil (Japanese morning glory), 105 nucleotides long. RefSeq lists it as uncharacterized. The record is from RefSeq and is a predicted model, not a curated record. The transcript is spliced from 4 exons. Lineage: Eukaryota; Viridiplantae; Streptophyta; Magnoliopsida; Solanales; Convolvulaceae.
AUUUUCACUGUAAUAGAAAAAAUGGGUGUGUUUGGUUCAUGCGUUUACACACUAGGAAUGAUAAUCAAAUCAUAGUUAGUGUUCGGUUGACAACUUUUUAAACCA